AACGAACGCUGGCGGCAUGCCUAACACAUGCAAGUCGAACGAGACCUUCGGGUCUAGUGGCGCACGGGUGCGUAACGCGUGGGAAUCUGCCCUUGGGUUCGGAAUAACUCAGAGAAAUUUGAGCUAAUACCGGAUGAUGACGAAAGUCCAAAGAUUUAUCGCCCAGGGAUGAGCCCGCGUAAGAUUAGCUUGUUGGUGGGGUAAUGGCCUACCAAGGCGACGAUCUUUAGCUGGUCUGAGAGGAUGAUCAGCCACACUGGGACUGAGACACGGCCCAGACUCCUACGGGAGGCAGCAGUGGGGAAUAUUGGACAAUGGGCGCAAGCCUGAUCCAGCAAUGCCGCGUGAGUGAUGAAGGCCUUAGGGUUGUAAAGCUCUUUUACCAGGGAUGAUAAUGACAGUACCUGGAGAAUAAGCUCCGGCUAACUCCGUGCCAGCAGCCGCGGUAAUG
This 451-nucleotide ribosomal RNA is filed under the name uncultured bacterium. Its description in RNAcentral is "bacterial SSU rRNA". It matches the Rfam family "Bacterial small subunit ribosomal RNA", at positions 29 to 525 of the family's 1533-position model. The record is from RNAcentral.